GGGCCUGUGGAGAGAACGGUGAGGGACGGGGACUUCAGAGUAGGGAGCAGAGAGAUCUUCACUCCUCUCCUCCCACUAGACUCAUGCCCAACCCAGGGUAAAGAGCUGAGCCCACUCUUCUGCACCUCAAUCGGAGAAACUGAGGCCUUGAUGCGGAAAGGACUUGCACUCCUUCUCCAGGGCUUACAGGCCUUGGAUCUGCUGAGACCAUGGGGCUAGAGUGGAACAGCGAGGAAACUCAGUAUCUCUAAGAACCUCCAGGCCACAUCAGAGGAUGGGCGUUCCCAACCGCCAGCCCCUGGGGCGGAAGGAGGCGGCCGCUCCCGCGUUAGCCACCAGGGGUCGCCAGCAGCUCAGAAACGGGUAUUGCUGGUCAGACAGCCUAGAGAAGUGAGCCAGCCGCCCCUCACCAGGGCCAUUUCUUCAAAAGGACUUUCCAGGGUGGAGUCAGGUGGAACCUGUCGGACGGAGGAUUCACAGGACACACAAGCCUCAUCAGCAGCUCCGGGGCAGCUCCCCAAAGAGAAGCCCCCAGCCCUGCCCUCCCUGGGGAAGCCACCAAGGAAACGAGGAAACGUGGAAACGUUUAAGAGAGUGUUAGUAAACAAACAAGGGCAAGCCUGCCGGUCUCCUUCUCCUUCUCUGCUCUAGAAAGAUAAUGGGAGCACUGUCCUCGUGGGGUCAGCAGGGCAGCCACCCAUUGUGCGGGGGUGGGGGUCAGGAGCCUGGAUUCCAAUCUCAGCUCCAAAACCUUUGCCAUGUCCCUUCUCUCUGACUUCUGUUUCUAGAUUUGUGUCUAUGAGGCAAGUAGAGGCUGGAGUGGGGAACAGUUAACAAUGUUGGAAACCCUGGGAAUUUGAAAUGCUGUCGGCACAGAAUAUUAGAAUCAUGACAAUGAAUGAGGGACUUUCAUGAUAAAAAAAAAAAGCUUCCCUCCCAUUUGAAUCUCACCUGAGCCGUUUACAAAGUGUGUAAAAUAAUAGUUCAAUAGCUUCUAUUAUUGACUGAGCAUUAUAUGCUGGAUAUGCUUCUCAGUGCUUUUGUCUAUUAUCUCAUUGAAACCUCAUGAAAAUCCUUGUUACUCCCAGAAAACAGGCCUGGAGAAGUUCAACCACUUACGCAGAUCCCCUCGAUUAGUAAACAGAGGAGCCAGCAUUCACACCCAGCAGUCCCAACUUCUAACCAUUACAACAGUAGGAGCUUUUAAAACUCUCAAUACCCAGGUCAUAUCCCAUAACAAUUAAAUCAGAAGGUCUGGGGCUGGGAGGCAAGCACUGAUAGUUUUUAAAGAUCCCAGGUGAUUCUAAUGUGCAGCCAAGUUCUGAAACCACUGCAUGUACUAUACCACGUCACCUUGUCCCCACUGUAACUCUGUUGGAUGGGUAGAAUCUUGACUCCUAUUUUACAGAUGGACAAACUGAGGGACAGCAAACGACUUGUCCGUGUAUGUGAUGGAGCUUGGACUGGAAUCCAGGUUCCCUCUGUUCCUGAGGGCGACUUACUUGCGAAUAGGUGGCUCUGCCCCUCCCCCACCUGCUUACACCUGUUGCUGCGUAGCAAGAGCUGGAACACCUGAGCUGGAACGCCUGGCUUUGUCCCUACUUCUCCUGCCACUCCCUCCCCUCUCCAAGCCCUACACUGGUCAGACAAAGAGGGUCAGGUGCAAACUCCCUCUCCAGCCUCCCCUUGAUGCACCCACCUGUCUACACCUGUGGCGGAUGCUGCUGCCAAAACGGCCGCUACUUGAUGCUUGCUGUUACCCAACCUGCUGCGCCUGCGCUUUGUGUGCCCCAGAGAGCCUGGGGCAUUUCAAUACCCGGGCUGCGCCCCGGGCCUGGCUGCCCCUGGGCCCCGCCCCCAGGUCCCGCCCCAUCUCCUGGGAGGGGACGGGGCGGGGAGAGAUGCGCGAUCACGAGGCAUUCUGGGACUUGUAGUCUGAAGCCCUAGAGCUGGAUUGCACAAGGCCUGUCCUGGGUGGAAACCCUGUGUUGACCUGGAGCACAGGUGAGCAGAUGCACCUGCAAUUUUAUUUUGCCAAGACAUCUGUGCGCUCAUUUAUCAUGAAAUAUAUUUCCUAAGAAUCA
Long non-coding RNA from Panthera uncia (snow leopard), 2084 nucleotides. RefSeq lists it as uncharacterized. The record is from RefSeq and is a predicted model, not a curated record. Lineage: Eukaryota; Metazoa; Chordata; Mammalia; Carnivora; Felidae. The transcript is spliced from 2 exons.